GGACGAACGCUGGCGGCGUGCUUAACACAUGCAAGUCGAACGGUAAGGCCCUUCGGGGUACACGAGUGGCGAACGGGUGAGUAACACGUGGGUGAUCUGCCCUGCACUUUGGGAUAAGCCUGGGAAACUGGGUCUAAUACCGAAUAGGACCAUGGACUUCACGGUUUGUGGUGGAAAGCUUUUGCGGCGUGGGAUGGGCCCGCGGCCUAUCAGCUUGUUGGUGGGGUAAUGGCCUACCAAGGCGACGACGGGUAGCCGGCCUGAGAGGGUGACCGGCCACACUGGGACUGAGAUACGGCCCAGACUCCUACGGGAGGCAGCAGUGGGGAAUAUUGCACAAUGGGCGCAAGCCUGAUGCAGCGACGCCGCGUGAGGGAUGACGGCCUUCGGGUUGUAAACCUCUUUCAGCACAGACGAAGCGCAAGUGACGGUAUGUGCAGAAGAAGGACCGGCCAACUACGUG
Molecule: ribosomal RNA, 463 nt
Filed under: uncultured bacterium
Lineage: Bacteria
Description: bacterial SSU rRNA
Rfam family: Bacterial small subunit ribosomal RNA
Source: RNAcentral